This 402-nucleotide ribosomal RNA is filed under the name uncultured bacterium. RNAcentral's name for it is "bacterial SSU rRNA". It matches the Rfam family "Bacterial small subunit ribosomal RNA", at positions 917 to 1322 of the family's 1533-position model. The record is from RNAcentral.
GGGCCCGCACAAGCGGUGGAGCAUGUGGUUUAAUUCGAUGAUACGCGAGGAACCUUACCAGGGCUUAAAUGGGAAAUGACAGGGGCAGAGACGCCCCCUUCUUCGGACAUUUUUCAAGGUGCUGCAUGGUUGUCGUCAGCUCGUGCCGUGAGGUGUCAGGUUAAGUCCUAUAACGAGCGCAACCCCUGUGAACUGUUGCCAGCGCGUAAAGGCGGGGACUCUGUUCAGACUGCCCAGAUCAACUGGGAGGAAGGUGGGGAUGACGUCAAAUCAUCACGGCCCUUACGUCCUGGGCUACACACGUGCUACAAUGGCCGGUACAGAGGGCAGCCACACCGCAAGGUGGAGCGAAUCCUUAAAACCGGUCUCAGUUCGGAUCGGGGUCUGCAACUCGGCCCCGUG